CACUGCGUCCCACCGUUAUCUUCCUAUCGUGUAUUUUUCUUAGCCGCACGCGAAAACGACAUCUCGCUCGCUUCCUCUCCAUUUCCCGGCGAAACGACGCGAAACACACUCGUUUUCCCCCGAUCUACACCGACGGCGACGACGACGACGACGACGACUGUUACCCGCCGGUUGGGAUCGGGAAUUUAUUCCUCGGCUGCUAGCAGAACAAAGAAGAUGGUCGAACGAGCCAGACCAAAAGGCGCCAUCUUUCGAUACGAUGGCGUGACACUCGUAAAUCUGGCUUAUCGUCGAGAUCCGAAAGAUUGCUGAGCUUAGGAAAAUACCAGAUGGAUGAUUGAUCACCGGCUGUCGAGAAGAGUUUUUCGUCCUUUGGAAAUUGAGGUUAAGGUAGUUCUCAACUAACUGUGUUAGUCGAGUUGGAAGUUUGUUGAUGGACGAUGAAUAAAUAAAGGUGAUAUGAUAUUAUGGAAAUGAUAAUGGUAAUUGUUAACGUCAUUUAUAUUUAUUGCUAAAGGUUAAAUGUCGAUAUAAAUAAUCGCAAUAGGAAAGUAGAAUGUUAUGUCGACUAGCGUAGUGGACGAUAAAACGUUUAAUAACCGAAGCAAAUAAUUUUCAGGAACAAGAAGAGGAAGUUCGAACAUUGAAAUUGUAUUUAUCGAAAGAAAGGGAAAGUUAUAUUGCUGACAUUCGAGUACAUAUACGGGUGUUAACGCCUUGCGACCAAGCUGGAGCCUAAAACUCGUGCCGCUGUAUACGUCAGUCAGUAAAUCAGCCUUUCCAACUAUGCCAAACCAACAGCCGCGAUCGUAAAACUCAAUGCCUACGAUCCGAUAGUUUACCAAUAGUUUACCCGCCGAACAAGGUCUCCCAUACCAUAGCAGCGCCAACAUUUCCAAAAACUCGUCCAAUCACACCGCAUCGGUCGUACAUAAAUAUUCUGUUAACUCGAUUAGGAUCGAACAUAGCUUCGAGCUUCAUGAUUAUUUGAUCAUUUCCAUCCACUCGUUUAUCUCGUUUUAAUCUGUCGGUCGAUGAAGAUGAAGUAACGAACACGAACUCGACGUGUUUUUACGUUCAAGAAUAAAUGAUAUCGUAUCGAAAUUUUCACGAACUAGAAUGAUAGAAAUCGAUUUAUUUUUCUAUCGAUCUCUUUGAAAGUAAUUUCGGCAUGAAACUUUUUAACCACCUCUUUUGCGACCUCUUCGAAAAGCGUGUCAACUAAAACGUGUGGCAGAGAGUAAGCGACGAUUAAUUUUAUUACCGAAAAGUUACUCGUCGUAACGCGGAAUAUCGUCAUUUCUUCGUGACGAGUAUACUCGUCGAUAACAGCCAGCUGGUUAAUCAAGGGAUGACAGAUAUCCAAUGACAUAGUGCGUUGUAACAUAAAUCGUACAACUUGCGACGAAACUCAAGCAAGCGAAAAUAAUUCAAACGCAAAAGCAAUAGUCAAGCGUGUUAUUCGAUCGUCCUGUUUAAACGCAUUAUCCUCCAGACGAAGAUCAGACAAUUAAUUAACGCGAUGACGUUGAUACGCGAGCCAACAAACAUCUCUCAGCCAUGUUUCUUCGUUAAGAAAGUAGCGAGGGAAAAAGUUUCGGGGCAACGUCGUUGGGAUUAUGGGGCGUCGCGGCGCGAGGAUCACCGUGUACCCUGUUGUACUUCGGUGUUUUACAGCCACGCAAGAAAGCAAUGGCGGUGCCUUGCCUCGAAAGACGAAACAAGAAGAAAGCCGUGUUGGCCUUGCGGAGUCUGCAAACGCGUCGAACAAAGCCUCGCAAAGCUUAACUGGCUCCGGUCAAUGGAGAUUUAUCUCAGUUCUAGUCUGAUUUCUGCAGGUUUCUGCGCUCUUAAAGGCAGAUUCUCGCGUACGAACAACGACGAGUACGAACGAUUUUUAUGAAUCUUUUUAGGCCAACCGCUGCUUAUUAGGAAUUAGAUCUUUUUGCGAUGUAAAUAUUGAGUUGACAACUAAAUGAUCGCGGAUUUUGUCAUUAGGUGGUAAUGACAAACAGAUCGCUGUUCGGGUACAAAGGUAACUUUUGUUUUAUUUCAGUUCUUCUUAUCGUUUAUCGUACCAAUAGUUGCCGCGUUAAAUCAAAGACUAGAAAAUCUGAGAAGCGUAAAACUUGAAAAGACUAAAAAGCGUGGAGUAAAGAAUCCCUUGGACGAGUCUACGGGUGGUCCGUAAGUACGCUAUUGGUGCACAGCUGAUCGCUCUCCCGCGUCCAGAAACCGUUUCAACGAGGCAAAUAUCUUGGCGGGAGCAGCGUUUCGUAAGUCCCUGGAGAAUCCAAUAGAAGAAAAUGAAAUGUAAUGCGCAGAUAUUACGAAAUUAAAUUCCGAGCAUACGUGGAUCAUUUUAAAACACCAUGUAUUUAGUUGAAACAAUUUUCACACAACUUUGUACGUACUUCCUAACAAUUACGUAAUUUUGUCAUUAUUUAUUUUUGUUGGAAGAAUCGUUAGUUUCGGAAGAAACAAAAUUAUUUAACGAGUUCCUCCGAUUUUGAAACAGUUUGUUCGUUAAAAAUUCCAUCUGCCUUGUCGUAUGGCAUUUAUUUAUUUCAGCCUGGUGAAAUAUCGAAUAUAAUUGAAUCUAGUUUUACGUACAGUUUAUAAACAUGAAAUAAAGCUAAAACUAAACUUACAGGUAACUGCAAUACCAUAAAAAUAGAUUGAUUCUUUCAACAUUCGUCCUCUCUAUCUCUAAGUACUUUAUCACUGUACAAACAUUCUCCCUAUUACGCUUCAUUCGUCCACUCACUUAUUCCUCCAUUCCGCCGCUCGUUACCUAUUUAUUCUUUUUUCUUCUUUCUUGCUCGCGCUUUAUUUCCCAAUAAUUGCGGUUUUCUUCGCUUGACUUCUGUUUCUACCGCCCUCUGUUCGUGUUACGAGAACUUAGCAAAGACAACAAGCAGAAAACCAACGAAUGAAAAAAGAAAGAAAGAGGAACGAACUAAAUAAUUUGUUUCACGUCCAAAUAGAUCGAAACACACGAGUUCCUCGGCCUUGUCUUCCGCUUUCUGCUCCUGCCCGUUUGUCCGCCACGAAAUCCUAUUAGAAACAACACGAAAGAAAUCAGCCGGUUAAAGGGGAACGUACAAGAGCAAAUGCUCGACCAUCGAGCGACAAGUAAUUUUUUGAACGCCCGAAUAAAUUAAAGUACCCUGGUACCGUCCUGUAAGUGUUAAGUUGUCGUUGCCAACAGCAGAGAAGAGAGGUGAAAAAGGCCGUUAAGUGUUUUUCAGAGCGUUCGCGUCGUCAACAACCCUCGCUCCUUUCUCCGUACGCUUUUCCACUGCUCGCUUCUUGUUCCAGCGUACUUCCGCUCGAAAAAUUGGCCCAUUCCUUGCCUAAGUCGAUUCGUUAGGGAAGCAAAGUGGUAAUUUGGAGGACGUAUCUUCGGUAAGAUUGAUCGUACGAUGGAGAAUAGGCAGGAUCGUUAUUGGAUAGCGACGCAGUUCCAGGUUGACAGUGAAUAAGAUGUAUGGUACGAUGUUGGGUUUUUCUGAAGAAACAGAACCUCCAGAGUCUAGUCUAACGUAUUUAUGAUUGUCCGCUCUGUUUGGUAAAAAUGAAACGAAUAAAAUGGCUAAACUGUAGGAUCAGCGACUAGUCUGGAAGCCGGAGGGUCUUUCGAAUAACAGUCGAAAAUUCUUGAUCGUUCGAAUCGAGGAAUAUUUUACACAGGCUGGGCAAUAAUACGUUUAAUACGACGUUUUUAAACGAUCGCAGGAAUGUCAGCGAUCUUUCUUUCCUAUUUAAGAUCAUAAAUGGUCAGAUCUCGUUUGCUACUCAGUUGCUACAGCUUGUUUUUACUUUUAGAAUGAAUCACGCACGCUAUGGGUAUAAUUUCAUUACGCUACCGUCAAACCUAACAAUGGCUCCAGUGUCCCAAUUAAUCGAAUACUAAAACUUAGCCAAAACAUUUCCGGAGCAGACCGAUCUUUUCUGUGACUCUGCUCUACGUUUCGAGAAAUCUUUGGAUCAAGCUGGACGCACCGUUGUUGAACCAUAUUUUAGGGAUCAUGGUCCCAGAUGUCAGACGUCAACGAGAGCCGUAAAUUCCCGUUACGAUUAGAUAAUCGACGCCACGAAAUGAUCGAUCCCCUGAUUUCUGUUACGACAAUAGGUUCAAUUGAAUUUACACUGAAUUAACAGGAUAGAACCCGAUAAUGACAUGUUGACUAUUCUAACGACGAAGAAUAAGCAAGUUAAAGUGGCGAUGCUGUGUCGGAGGAGAGCUAGUGAUGGGUGUGUCUAAAGCAAGGGACCAUCGGAUUUGUUCAUGACAAUUUUGGUCAGGAAAGUGAGGGCAGUAGACUUGCUUCUGAUUGGAUGAAAGAAGGUUGAUGGACUAGGAAGGAUCUUAGCCGCCCUCGAUAGAUAGUUGCUAGUGUAAAGUAUCGUACGUGAGAAAAACUAACUUUCCCGUGUCUUCCCGUAGCAAACAAUAGGCUUUGGAAACGAGUCAGUAAAAAGAUGUUUGUACGAUCUGAAGGACUUUAGCUAGGAAAUGCCUGAGAUUUAUGAUAGGUCCUUAAGACUAUUGAGGCUAUGCUGUAAGGACGUGCGGACAUCUGGUUGCCAUCCUGCCCGCGGUGUGUGGCCUGAUCUAGCAACUUCGAUAGAGAAAUAAAGAAUUUGGAGGAAAGGAGCGAUCGUAACUGGAAGCUGCAAGCAAUUUAAGCCCAUGUGAAGGUAUAACUGCGCGAAUGUCUCGAGAGAUUCAAAAGCACCCACGUAAAAAUCAUAUCCGUGGCGUUAAAAAGAUAAAAGAGGUAUCUGUCGAGCGAGACACUAAAGCGGGAUAUAAAGGACGCUAGAUAUCACCGCAUCGCUAUCACCGGCAACGUCCUACCAGUUCGUAACCCGGCCAUUACGCGAAUUUCGCCGUGAAACCUCCUAAUAAAGUCCGGAAUAAAAGAAAGGAGCGAGAUUAACGAAGAAACAUUUUGCCAGAGAUUCGUUGCGCGCUAAGUAAAAGUAUCCCGGUGGCCAUUAAGAGCGGCGUUCCGCGCGGAAACACGGAAAACAUUUGGACAACCGCGGCGUCCGUGACGUUUCCGCUGCGUGUA
Long non-coding RNA from Bombus pyrosoma, 5081 nucleotides. RefSeq lists it as uncharacterized. Lineage: Eukaryota; Metazoa; Arthropoda; Insecta; Hymenoptera; Apidae. The transcript has 5 exons. The record is from RefSeq and is a predicted model, not a curated record.